This 257-nucleotide ribosomal RNA is filed under the name uncultured bacterium. Its description in RNAcentral is "partial 16S ribosomal RNA". It matches the Rfam family "Bacterial small subunit ribosomal RNA", at positions 99 to 353 of the family's 1533-position model. The record is from RNAcentral.
CGGACGGGUGAGUAACGCGUGGGUAACCUGCCUUAUACAGGGGGAGUAACAGUCAGAAAUGGCUGCUAAUACCGCAUAAGCGCACAGAGCUGCAUGGCUCAGUGUGAAAAACUCCGGUGGUAUAAGAUGGACCCGCGUUGGAUUAGCUAGUUGGUGGGGUAACGGCCCACCAAGGCGACGAUCCAUAGCCGGCCUGAGAGGGUGAACGGUCACAUUGGGACUGAGACACGGCCCAGACUCCUACGGGAGGCAGCAUG